UGACCUCAAAUCAGGUAGGACUACCCGCUGAACUUAAGCAUAUCAAUAAGCGGAGGAAAAGAAACUAACAAGGAUUCCCCUAGUAACUGCGAGUGAAGAGGGAAAAGCUCAAAUUUAAAAUCUGGCAGUCUUUGAUUGUCCG
The sequence is a ribosomal RNA, 142 nucleotides long. It matches the Rfam family "Eukaryotic large subunit ribosomal RNA", at positions 1 to 140 of the family's 3401-position model.